AUUGAACGCUGGCGGCAGGCCUAACACAUGCAAGUCGAACGAGUGGCGGACGGGUGAGUAAUGUCUGGGGAACUGCCCGAUGGAGGGGGAUAACUACUGGAAACGGUAGCUAAUACCGCAUACCAUCGGAUGUGCCCAGAUGGGAUUAGCUAGUAGGUGGGGUAAAGGCUCACCUAGGCGACGAUCCCUAGCUGGUCGGAGAGGAUGAGCAGCCGCACUGGAACUGUGACACGGUCCAGACGCCUACGGUAGGCAGCAGUGGGGAAUAUUGCACAAUGGGCGCAAGCCUGAUGCAGUCAUGCCGCGUGUAUGAAGAAGGCAUUAGGGUGGUAAAGUACUUUCAGCGUGGAGGCGUUACCCGAAGAAGAAGCACCGGCUAACUCCGUGCCAGCAGCCGCGGUAAUAC
Molecule: ribosomal RNA, 406 nt
Filed under: uncultured bacterium
Lineage: Bacteria
Description: partial 16S ribosomal RNA
Rfam family: Bacterial small subunit ribosomal RNA
Source: RNAcentral